Molecule: long non-coding RNA, 804 nt
Organism: Acanthaster planci (crown-of-thorns starfish)
Lineage: Eukaryota; Metazoa; Echinodermata; Asteroidea; Valvatida; Acanthasteridae
Source: RefSeq, a predicted model, not a curated record
CCACACCCGCAGCAAGGAUAGGCUGUCCCACCAACUCGUCAAGUUAGUACCAAACCGAGAAGACUGAAGUCAGCGCUUGUGACAGCUCAACCACUGCGCAGUGAAAAGAGGAGACCUACGAUGCACCGCCCAUGGACAUGAGGAGAACACCUUCUCCUGCUUCAAGAUUUUGUUCGCCAGCCUCUGUCAUCCUGUCCACUGGGACUACAAGCACCUUGUAAGCCAGUUGGAACAAUGAUGGAAGUCUCUUGGCCAUUUCCUGCCAGAACUGCAGAGCACUAGUGGUAACACAGUCGGGCACUUCGUCGAGGACUGAGAUGAUACUUCAAAUUUGUCAGAUUGCUAGCUGUUGCUAUUAAGAAAACUCAAUAGUAAAUAAAAGUGGGAGAAAUAAACAAGUCAUGGAAUUAUAAGUGUAUUCACUGUUUUUUCAUCACAAUAUUUACAAGUGUAAUUAAGUAGCUUAUUUUCUGAAGAAAAUCUUAUCAAACCCUAACACUUUGAGCUUGCAAAUUAAAUAGGUGUCAUAAUUAUAUUCUUUCAGAUGGCUCAACCAUAGGGCUUUUGCUUUUCGGAAAAUCACUGGUAAAUAAGAGUGAUGAGAAAUAUACAAUAGACAAGCCAUUUUGUAUAACAUCAAAUCCACAUGGAAUUAUAAUAAUUGCAUUCACUGUCAUUUCAUCACAAUAUUUACUAGUGUAAUCAUGUAGCUUAUUUUCUGAAGAAACUCGUAUCAAAACUCUCACACUUCGAGCUUGCAAAAUAAUUAAAUGCGGGAAUUUUGCAUCCCUGGUUGAUUUUUAA